Molecule: non-coding RNA, 28 nt
Filed under: Homo sapiens (human)
Lineage: Eukaryota; Metazoa; Chordata; Mammalia; Primates; Hominidae
Source: RNAcentral
ACCUGCAAACUGCUUCUUGGUCUUGGUC